GAGUUUGAUCCUGCUUCAGAUUGAACGCUGGCGGCAGGCCUAACACAUGCAAGUCGAACGGUAGCACAGAGGAGCUUGCUCCUUGGGUGACGAGUGGCGGACGGGUGAGUAAUGUCUGGGAAACUGCCCGAUGGAGAGGGAUAACUACUGGAAACGGUAGCUAAUACCGCAUAACGUCGCAAGACCAAAGAGGGGGACCUUCGGGCCUCUUGCCAUCGGAUGUGCCCAGAUGGGAUUAGCUAGUAGGUGGGGUAACGGCUCACCUAGGCGACGAUCCCUAGCUGGUCUGAGAGGAUGACCAGCCACACUGGAACUGAGACACGGUCCAGACUCCUACGGGAGGCAGCAGUGGGGAAUAUUGCACAAUGGGCGCAAGCCUGAUGCAGCCAUGCCGCGUGUAUGAAGAAGGCCUUCGGGUUGUAAAGUACUUUCAGCGAGGAGGAAGGCAUUAAGGUUAAUAACCUUAGUGAUUGACGUUACUCGCAGAAGAAGCACCGGCUAACUCCGUGCCAGCAGCCGCGGUAAUACGGAGGGUGCAAGCGUUAAUCGGAAUUACUGGGCGUAAAGCGCACGCAGGCGGUCUGUCAAGUCGGAUGUGAAAUCCCCGGGCUCAACCUGGGAACUGCAUCCGAAACUGGCAGGCUAGAGUCUUGUAGAGGGGGGUAGAAUUCCAGGUGUAGCGGUGAAAUGCGUAGAGAUCUGGAGAAAUACCGGUGGCGAAGGCGGCCCCCUGGACAAAGACUGACGCUCAGGUGCGAAAGCGUGGGGAGCAAACAGAAGUAGAUACCCUGGUAGUCCAUGCUGUAAUGAAUGUUGACUUGGAGGUUGUGCCCCUUGAGGCGUGGUUUCGGGAGCUAACGGCUUAAGUCGACGGCGUGGGGAGGUACGGCCGCAAGAGUUAAAAUUCAAAUGAAUUGACGGGGACCCGCACAAAGCGGUGGAGCAUGUGGUUUAAUUCGAUGCAACGCGAAGAACCUUACUUACUCUUGACAUCCAGAGAACUUAGCAGAGAUGCUUUGGUGCCUUCGGGAACUCUGAGACAGGUGCUGCAUGGCUGUUGUCAGCUCGUGUUGUGAAAUGUUGGGUUAAGUCCCGCAACGAGCGCAACCCUUAUCCUUUGUUGCCAGCGAUUCGGUCGGGAACUCAAAGGAGACUGCCAGUGAUAAACCGGAGGAAGGUGGGGAUGACGUCAAGUCAUCAUGGCCCUUACGAGCAGGGCUACACACGUGCUACAAUGGCAUAUACAAAGAGAAGCGACCUCGCGAGAGCAAGCGGACCUCAUAAAGUAUGUCGUAGUCCGGAUUGGAGUCUGCAACUCGACUCCAUGAAGUCGGAAUCGCUAGUAAUCGUGGAUCAGAAUGCCACGGUGAAUACGUUCCCGGGCCUUGUACACACCGCCCGUCACACCAUGGGAGUGGGUUGCAAAAGAAGUAGGUAGCUUAACCUUAGGGAGGGCGCUUACCACUUUGUGAUUCAUGACUGGGGU
Molecule: ribosomal RNA, 1486 nt
Filed under: uncultured bacterium
Lineage: Bacteria
Also listed under: 1 other name
Description: bacterial SSU rRNA
Rfam family: Bacterial small subunit ribosomal RNA
Source: RNAcentral